GGGUGAAGCAUACUCUAGGGAAAGACCUGGCAGGAGAACUUGCUGAGUUCCAAGUGCUGCUUCUGUGUGUGCAUCCCUCUGCCUUUGCUCCAGCUCAGCCUGCUCUGAUGUGGAGGAUAUGAGUGGCUGCUUCUGAGUUCAUCCAAAUACAGAGGAUGAUUCAACAUGCUGAAACAGUUUCUAGCUAUAUUCUACGAAUGGAACUGCACACCAUACUGGAUGCCCUCUAUACAGAGACAAGAAGUUCAGAUCUUUAUCUCAACUAAAAUCCACUUACGGGUAUGUGUAUGGUGUCACCUUACCCAAAUGGCAAUGUUUUACAGAGGUGUAAAUUGGAAGGUACAAGCAAUAUAAAGAGCAAGACAGGACAUAAUCAAAUCCCAGAGUGAGAGAGAAACUAUGUUUUAAGUCUUAUACCAUCUGGACAUGACUUUUUGUGAAUUUAAAAUAUCUGUAGGUGCUGAGGCAUCUGAAAGUUCAGCAGCAUAUGCCAUUUUUAUGUGAGGAGCAGCUGAGUCCCAGAUCACAUUUACUAGCUGCUAAAGGGAGAACUCUGUAAGAGUUUGGAGUAUCUGCUUCCUACUUUUCAGAUGAAGCAACCUUUAUAACUUUAUUUUUCUGUCCUUGCAUAAAGUCAUGGCUGCUUUGGUGUUGGGUUCCAUGUGAUGACAAAGAAGAAUGCAGUUGUGUGAAGAUAUUGCCUGCUCCCCCUUUGUUGGGAGGAGCUGCAAAACCAGCUGUCAGCAGUCCUCUCAGGCUGGAAAAGGCUGAGCACAAAGCUUGAAGUCAUAGAAAAGCAGGAUGCAGAAAGAAGACCCUGAGGAGAGCUUGUAAUGGCACUGUCCUAUGAAGUAGCCAGUGAAUCAUCACACACUGCCUUAUCAAGCCCCAUUUAUUUGAGCUUAUUUAUUACAAAAAUCUCAUGUUGUGUCUCAUCUAUUUUACAGCUCUGCAACACCAGCUACUUGAAAAUUUGUUAGUGCAACUCUGAGCUCCAAAUACCUCCUUUGGAUAUUUUUUGCCCCAGUCCUAUUUCUGUGUGCUUUGGUGGAAGGGUAGUAUAAUGCCACUUAGUAUAAAAUGUGCCUGCACUGGUAAGAACAUAAUAAAGUUUUUGUUGUGCUGCUGUGUAGCUGAGCC
This 1140-nucleotide long non-coding RNA is filed under the name Coturnix japonica (Japanese quail). Its description in RNAcentral is "lncRNA (ENSCJPG00005004326.1)". Lineage: Eukaryota; Metazoa; Chordata; Aves; Galliformes; Phasianidae. The record is from RNAcentral.